AUGAACGCUGGCGGCGUGCCUAACACAUGCAAGUCGAACGGAGUCCAGCCUUUAAGACCUUCGGGUCACAGAGGGGAAGACUGAGUGGCGGACGGGUGAGUAACACGUGGGCAACCUGGCUCAUAGAGGGGGAUAACAGAGAGAAAUUUCUGCUAAUACCGCAUAAGCACACACUGCCGCAUGGCAGAGGGUGAAAAGAGAAUCGCUAUGAGAUGGACCCGCGUCUGAUUAGCCAGUUGGCAGGGUAAGAGCCUACCAAAGCGACGAUCAGUAGCCGAUCUGAGAGGAUGAACGGCCACAUUGGGACUGAGACACGGCCCAAACUCCUACGGGAGGCAGCAGUGGGGGAUAUUGCACAAUGGGGGGAACCCUGAUGCAGCGACGCCGCGUGAGUGAAGAAGUAUUUCGGUAUGUAAAGCUCUAUCAGCAGGGAAGAUAAUGACAGUACCUGAAUAAGAAGCCCCGGCUAACUACGUG
This 477-nucleotide ribosomal RNA is filed under the name uncultured bacterium. Its description in RNAcentral is "partial 16S ribosomal RNA". It matches the Rfam family "Bacterial small subunit ribosomal RNA", at positions 30 to 507 of the family's 1533-position model. The record is from RNAcentral.